Molecule: unclassified non-coding RNA, 325 nt
Filed under: Microsporum canis
Lineage: Eukaryota; Fungi; Ascomycota; Eurotiomycetes; Onygenales; Arthrodermataceae
Description: sequence contains 18S rRNA gene, ITS1, 5.8S rRNA gene, ITS2, 28S rRNA gene
Source: RNAcentral
GUAGAUGAAGCGGAAGGAUAGUAGUGAUGCAGAUCCGUAAUCAUGAAUGUUGACGCACAUGCGCCCCCUGGCAUUCCGGGGGGCAUGCCUGGUCGAGCGUCAUUUCAACCCCUCAAGCCCGGCUUGUGUGAUGGACGACCGUCCCCCCUCCCCAGUAACCACCCACCGCUUAGGGGGGUGGGAGGGAGGGGGACGCGCCCGAAAAGCAGUGGUCAGGCCGCGAUUCCGGCUCCUGGGCGAAUGGGACAUACCACCGCCUCCAGGACCGGCCGGCAGGCUGGCCUAACGCACCAUGUAUUAUUCAGGUUGACCUCGGAUCAGGUAG